GUUUAUUGUUUACGUAUGGGAAUAAAAAUAAUUCUUUCAGUCGAUGUGUGAAUGCUCGCAUUGUCAUGGUGAAGAGUGAUCCGUUUUCGGGAGUUGGUUUACCUGAUAUCUUGAAAUACAACUGGCAAACAAAUAGUAAUCUACCACCCAGAAUUUACUGUACAGCAUUGUUCUAGUGUACAGCAUUGUUCUAUUGUUGUUUCAAUCUUACGAUAGGUCACAUGAUGAUCUUGCACUAACAGUUUGCGCACAGUAUCAAUCGUUUCGGGGACAACAACUGAUUUUGGACGACCUUUACGAAAUUCGCCUUGGAGUAAUCUACGACCUCGAUUGAAUUCACCAUACAAUCGAUAACCACUGAUCCUUGAUUGAGCUUUAGGAAGAUAUUUCGGCGUCAAAUUAUCUGAAACCAAAAACCAAUGAAAUUUAGUAUAACGAUAGAUGAAUACAGGUAAUGAUCGAAGGAAUAGUGAAAGUUUGGAUUUUUGAGAAAAUGGCGGCUUCACAAAUAAAAAAAAUUAAUUUAUUGUGUGAAAAUUUACAAUUCAAAGUGAAUUAAAAAAAUGGAAAUUAUUGUCAAAA
Long non-coding RNA from Bactrocera oleae (olive fruit fly), 582 nucleotides. RefSeq lists it as uncharacterized. The record is from RefSeq and is a predicted model, not a curated record. NCBI's taxonomy places the organism in Eukaryota, Metazoa, Arthropoda, Insecta, Diptera, Tephritidae.